GAUUAUUGAAUUGGUAAAGUAUGAAUAUGGACGGUAAAAUUCACGGUGUUCAUCCUAAAAUUCUAAUGAUUACUAAUUCUCAAGUAGAGAUGGGUAAGUCAUAGUGUGAGAAUGUGAGGAGGUCCUAGCCCAUAGGGUAUCUUGGGUGAGGUAUAACAGACUAAUCUCGGGUGGCAGCUGAGGGGUUUCUAGUUACUACACCCCCGGGUGCACAAACGACCUUUAGCUACAUAUUCAUAAAAUCCAGAUGGUCAAGUCAAGUGGUCUGUCAUUGCAUGUAUGGUGUGUUCAGUCAUUGCCUGAAACAUAUGCCUGGUUAUUAUAUGUUUGAAUGCUUGGUGAAAUACGUGCUUAUGUAUGAGUUGAUUUUGUAUGAUAUUAAUGAUUAAUUAAAUUACACUAGCUUACCUUACUUUUCCUGUCUUGUCUUAUGUUGUCCGUUCGGUCGUCUUCUUCAUUGUAAUGAUCAUCCUGUGCAUGUGAGCAGAAGGUGAUGAGUGCUUUCUAGAGCAGGUGCUGAGCGAUGAGCCUCCAACCUCUUAGUUUAGGAUCGUUCGGUUUAUACAUGGUGUUGUAUGACC
RNAcentral lists this long non-coding RNA (581 nucleotides) under Vigna radiata. RNAcentral describes it as "long non-coding RNA (VRAD_LNC006008)". The record is from RNAcentral. Lineage: Eukaryota; Viridiplantae; Streptophyta; Magnoliopsida; Fabales; Fabaceae.